GACGAACGCUGGCGGCGUGCUUAACACAUGCAAGUCGAGCGAUGAAGCUCCUUCGGGAGUGGAUUAGCGGCGGACGGGUGAGUAACACGUGGGCAACCUGCCUUAUAGAGAGGAAUAGCCAUCCGAAAGGAUGAUUAAUACCUCAUAAUAUUGUAGUUUCGCAUGAAGCAACAAUCAAAGGAGCAAUCCACUAUAAGAUGGGCCCGAGGCGCAUUAGCUAGUUGGUGAGGUAACGGCUCAGCAAGGCGACGAUGCGUAGCCGACCUGAGAGGGUGAUCGGCCACAUUGGGACUGAGACGCGGCACAAACUCCUACGGGAGGCAGCAGUGGGGAAUAUUGCACAAUGGGGGAAACCCUGAUGCAGCAACGCAGCGUGAGUGAUGACGGCCUUCGGGUUGUAUAGCUCUGUCUUCAGGGACGAUAAUGACGGUACCUGAGGAGGAAGCCACGGCUAACUACGUGCCAGCAGCCGCCGUAA
RNAcentral lists this ribosomal RNA (478 nucleotides) under uncultured bacterium. Its description in RNAcentral is "partial 16S ribosomal RNA". It matches the Rfam family "Bacterial small subunit ribosomal RNA", at positions 28 to 523 of the family's 1533-position model. The record is from RNAcentral.